UACGUAGGUGGCAAGCGUUGUCCGGAUUUACUGGGCGUAAAGAGCGCGCAGGCGGUCGAGUAAGUCGAAUGUGAAAGCCCCCGGCUUAACUGGGGAGGGUCAUUCGAUACUGUUCGACUUGAAGGCAGGAGAGGGCAGCAGAAUUCCCGGUGUAGUGGUGAAAUGCGUAGAUAUCAGGAGGAACACCGGUGGCGAAAGCGCUCAUCUGGCCCAAUACUGACGCUGAGGCGCGAAAGCUAGGGGAGCAAACGGG
Molecule: ribosomal RNA, 253 nt
Filed under: uncultured bacterium
Lineage: Bacteria
Description: partial 16S ribosomal RNA
Rfam family: Bacterial small subunit ribosomal RNA
Source: RNAcentral